Tetranychus urticae (two-spotted spider mite) is the source of this 8743-nucleotide non-coding RNA. Lineage: Eukaryota; Metazoa; Arthropoda; Arachnida; Trombidiformes; Tetranychidae. The record is from RefSeq and is a predicted model, not a curated record.
AAUUCAAUUCAAGUUAAUGUUUAUUUUGUCUGAUAAUUAAUUUAAUUUACGUUCGAACAACUUUUGAUUACCGAUUAAACCAAUUGGAAAAAAAUUUACAUUGCAGCCUGUACAAUUUUUCUUGAUUCCUUUAAUAAUAAUUAUCUUGUGAAGAGACAAAUUGAUGGUUGUAAUCAAUGUUUGAUUAUUUAUAGUAUAAUAGUAUUACUUUUUUGUUUCUUUUUUUUCACUAACACAUCAGGAUUAAAUGGACCAUUACUUGAAGAUAAUCAAUAUUCAAAGGAUUAAAUCAACUUUUGCUUUGGGCAAUAAAAGGUUAAGUUAACUCAACUGGAAGUGAAUCACUGUUUUAUCAUCUAAUGCCUGUAUUCCUCUUCUCUUUCUAUAGCAGCACUCUGGAAUCAAAAUCUCUAUCUAAUUUGGAAUAAAUAUUCAAUCCUGUUAUCAUGGUGUACAUUUUUCUCAAUCUUUGAAUACAUUUUCCCGAUGUAACUUCAAUGUAUUUAUUUGACGAAAAUGGUUUAAUGUUUAGAAGACAAAACAAAACCUUUGAACCAGUGCAUAAGAUAAACCAGACGAGUCAAGGUUUAUGGUGGAAACAAAGAAAAGAAAAUGUUCUUCAUUAAAUUCAACAAGACAUUUCAACUUUGGUGAUCAUAAUUGAAGGAAAACUGAAAAAGAAAGUGAAAAGCCAGAAAAGAGAUGAAAAAUGUAAAGAAAACAAGAUCAUAAUUUUCAAGUGUUAUUUUCCAUUGUUGUGUCAACAUGGUAAUUUGGAUUUCAUUUCUCGCCUGACAAUGAGUCUAUUUAAUCUGAUAUUUAUUCAAUUUCCAAUCGAAACAUUUUGACUGUUGAUGACAAAAUGUAUGCAAACAUUUUCUCUCCUUUUUUUUAAUGUAAAAAAUCGUGAUUCCAAACAAAGGAAAGCUCCAGUUAAGGGAAACUGAUCUGUUGAAGCAAGAAAAAGGAAAACUGAAACUCGGAAAAGACCAUCAACCCAAUAAGCUAAUAACAUUUAUGAACAGUGGAAAAAAGCGUAACAGAAUGUUAUGUUCAGGAAUAACAGUGAUUUCUUCAUUUCCAAUGUCUAUUUUUCUUCCUUUUUUUCCUCGUCUAUCUAUUCGUCUUAUUGUCUUCCCUUUCUUCACUACUUUUAUUCAUUCUUCACUCUUUUCUCUCUCCUCUUUAUCUUUACUAUCACUUUUCUAAUGCAGUCUUUUUAUGUUUGUUUUUUUUCUUCUUCUCUUGUGUUCAGGAUCAUCAUUAUUAUCACAGUCAUGGAUACGUUUUUUAAUACCCUAUGAAUUACUCUCCUGGCUUUGGUAGACAACACUAGAAAAGAACAGUUGAAUUGCUUUAAAACGAUUGAUAAUGACAUACUCAGGUAGUUCACACUUAUAAACAGACUGAUGCUGAGCUGAAUCUAAUUUAUAACUCUAGGAAAAGAUUAACUUGGAAUAAAUGAUGACUUAACAAUCUUUAAUUGGAUCAUGCAUUAAUUGAUACUGUUCAACUUUCCUCAUUGAAAUAUCGUUGAAACAAUUUGCAAUUUGUUGGAAGAAGCAAAUCAAGGGAUUCACAAAAUAUAAUAAUGGCGAUAAUGAUAAACAUCAACAGUCCAGCACAAGCACACCAAGUCAACACUCACAUACUAACCACUUCUUUUCCUUCUGUGGUUAUGUUUGGCUCCUUCCUUUUCAAUGUCCCAAAAACUUUCCUUUUUGGUGUCUUCUUUAAUCUAAUUGUGACCAACUCUACAACCUAACUCACCAGCAAUCCAUUUCAAUUCACGUCCUUCCAAUUCUAAUUCUUGUUCCUCUCUCUCUCCAUCUUCCCUCCAUACUUAUCACCCUUUCCCUUCAUCACUCCUUCAUUUUCCUCCUUUCGUCUUUACAAAGUUCAUUUGAGGAAAAGCUGAAUAUUUUUCCAUCAUCUUAUGUGAGGAACGACUUUCAAGAUUUGAUUAACUCUCUGUUUCAAUAUAUUUAUAUUUAUACAAAUUACCCUGGUCAUCCAUCUUUCCUUUGUUCAAAGUGAUUUGUCUCACCAUUUAACCAACAACAUUAUUAAUUUUAUGUUAAUUAGUCAAAUAAUUUAUGAUAGUCAGUGUACAUAUAUAAUACAUUUCAUGAUGAGUAUUUCAUAAAUUUACAUAGUCUUUUUUUUAUUGUUUUGAGGUUGCUUAUUUGCUUCCUCUGAUCCAUCAUUUUACAUAAAGUGAUCAUUACAGAUCCAUUGUAAUAUUUAACAAAUAGGAAAAAAGUUGAUGAAAAGAAGUAAAUUAAUCUAUCGGAGGAGACUUUUUUUCAUAUCUCAAUAUGCAUCAUAUUUUUUGGCUAUUGACAAUCAACGAUAAAAGUUCAUUGUCAGUGUCUAAAAGUGAGCAAUUCAUGUUUAAUAUUAUCCAUUUUUUUCAUAUUUACUUUAUUCUCAUCUUUUUUUAUCCUUUUUCUUUACAGAUUUAUUCAAUUUAAAUAAUUCAAGAUGGUGUUGAUCAAGAAUUACUAAACCAAAGGAAUUACUGGGAAUAUAAAUGAUGUGAUUCAAAUCUUUCCAAAAGAUAACCCAUUGAUGUCUUGAUGAUCAAAAAAGCUAACAAAUAUCAAGUUAAACAUCUGGACCAUCCAUUUGAUAGUAAUUGGUACAAGACAUUGGUUAAGUUUCCCAUUGAAAGGUUGGGAAAGAAAAGCAAUUAACCAAAGGAUUGAUUGUUGGCAUAAUUUGAGCUGACUAGAUGAUGGACUAUGGUUUUCCAGUGUGUUAUCACCACCAGAUUCACUUAUAAAAAAUGGUCGUAAAUGUUCAAAUUAUUCAAAUCAACCGAUCAAUAUCAUCAUCAAAGAGCCAUCAUAAUUUUACUCCAAUUAACGGUUUCCCUGAAGACAAUUAAAAAGAUGGUAAAAUUGGAUGAAUCCAAGUAAAAUCAACUAAAAUCCUUGUGAUCUACUGUAUCAAUCAACUUCAAUUGGUACAAUGUUAAUAACAAUAACAAGGUCUGUAAUCAAAGGGAACUGGUUGGUAAAGAAAAUGGUUCAAGAAAAGAAACAAAAUAAACUAUUUAAAUCAUUUCUUCCGAUUCCACCAUUCACAUUAUUAUAAAUAAUAAUUCAUCUUUAAAUUUGCAAGAUAAGUUGCUUUUUAUUUCAAGUAAAACAUAUUUAACUCUCACUAUUAUUAUUUAUUUGAUACAUAACACUUAGAACUGUUCAUUUACCUUUUAUAUCAAGAAACAAAAUAAUAUUGAAUGGUUUAAAUGUGUUCCCUCAUUUUUGCAUGAUUAUCAUUGCGUUUAUUUUUUUUCAUUCUGUAUGAAAAUUAAUAACAACAGAAGAGGAGAAAACGUAAUUUACUUGAGUGUGUUCACUAUUAUCAGCAAAUUGCUUGGAAUUAACAUUCAAUUAAUUAAUGAUUGAAUUUAAAUUGUUUCCUGCGAUUCUGCAGCUUCAUAAUUAUUGGUUAUCUUAAUUUUGCUAAUUUAUAUCUUCUUCUUUACCUACAGAUUUGCCAUUAAAGGAGUGAUCUUUUCUGGUUAUGAUGACUGGUCAAAUCAUCAAAUAAUCAAAGUCAAUUAGUUGAUCAAGGCGAGAUUAAUGGUCAUGCACUGAUCAUGCAACUUGGAGGCCUGUACGGAUUAUUAAUGGACAAUUGAAUUGAAAGUGACAGAUUGAAGAGCAACAUGAGGAUGACCAUGAAAGAAUUGGAAAAAAUUGAAAUCAAUUAUAUUAAUGGCUUACCUAAUUGUUUGAUCAUUACUCCACUUGAUUUGAUCUCAUUGCUUCCACUAAACACGUUGGUUUGAUCAUAAUUUGAUUUUUUAUUUACAUUAUUUCCAUUUAAUGAUUCUCCUGAAGAGUAGAGAAAUGAAGAAAAAACAAAGUCAAUUGUUGCAGUUGAAGAAGGAAAGGAAAACAAUCUUUCACUAUUUUCUGGUUGAAACAUAUAAUUAAAGUUAACUACUGUUUAUCGCCAUUGUCAUUCCGUGAAUUAUCACCUUCACAAGGAGCAAAAGGGAUGAAGAUUGAUACAAGGAGUGGAGAAAGAAGGAGGAAGAUGUAGGAAGACGGAGAAGUGGAAUGAAGAGAAGGAAGAAGAGGAGGAAAAUGAUCAUUUCUUCAUCCUUUCACUUGAUAUUGAUCUGAUUAUGGUGAAGAAGAGGUGAAAAAAAAGGUUUUUUUUAGGAUGAAGAAGCCUUAACAAGGAGUUUGAGAGUAUAAAAAAAAGGUACAUCAAUAUAAUAAUAUAUAUAUAAAAUAAUACUACUCAAGGGCAAGAGGAAUGUAAUUUAUAUAUUUUUCACUUUUAUCAACCUUUCGCUCAUGUUAUUGAUGAUAGUUUUCUCAGGGUUAUCAGGGAGUACAAAGUGGGAAACAGUUGAAAAAGUAUGAGGAUGAUAAUGAUGAUGAGCGAGAAGAUGAACAGGAAUGAAGCAAAGAUGUAGUGGGAAAAAUGAGCAAAGCAGAGAUGAAAGUUAAAGAUGUAAAAUAACGAAGAAUUGAAAAUAUAUUUUUCUCGCCUUUCUCUUCCAUUCCUCUUCCAACCUUUCUCAUCAUCUUCACCGGCAACCUGACUAUUGAAUACAGAGACCAACAAGCAAACAUCAACAAUAAAGAAGGAAAUAACAACAGUCUAAAUAAUACACUAUCAUACACCUUGUAAUCGGUGUUACCCUAAUAGGAGCAGCAACAAGACUAAAUAAAAAGGUUUACGUUCAAGCUGUUGUAACAUUGAACAAGAAGAAAAGUGAAUUCACCAAAAUCUAUUGGAAAGUUAUGAAGGUGAAGCAAAAAACAACAAAAUCAACCUUCCCACUUUGAUGGACGCAUUAUGUUUCUAUCCUUUUUCAUCUUCUUCAUUUUAUAUUACACUUUCCCUUCAUCAUCAUCUCCAUCUUUGCCAGAUAUUUUUGGUUACAUUAUUUGUUACAAUAAGACAAACUGGAACACCAACAUCAACGAGAAAAGCUUUUGGGAGUUGAACAGUAAAGAGGAACAAAAAAGAGUCAAUGUUAUUUUUCUUAUUUUCAACAUUCCUUAUUUUUCCCUUUCAUUCACAUUUUUCCUUUUUCCUUCCCUUUAUAUUCACAGAUUUUGUUGUCACUUUUGUUUUAACUUCCUUUUCCUCUUUUAUGCACAGAUUUUCAAGUUUUAUUGACGCAAAAAAUGCCACCAUAUUGAUGAUAUUUCAUCCAGUAACACCAACAGAAAUGAUCUGAUAAAAUCUCCAUCAGUUUAUAUCUUCAUCUUCACCUAAUCGUAACACUGGCUAAGGAUAAAACCUUCAUUUGUAAACUUGGUACCUCAUUUAGUUGGCCAUCAUUUUUUCCCUGGUAAUCUUUUAUUCUCAAAUUUCCCUGGAUCAAAUACAUUUAUAUAUUUUCCCGUUGAUGGUUCACUUGGAGUUAUUAUUGGAGUAACCAAUAAAUCAUUGCAAGACAAGGUCAAUUUCAAUCGAAAUCUUUAUCAGUUGCAAUUUAUACUAAAAAAAGAGAUUCAAAGGAAAAAAUAGAAUAGGAAAAAAAUUCAUUUCUUCUUCCUCAAUCAAUUCCCUGCAGUUUCGUUUCUGAAUCUCAUUCAAUUGCCUUUCAGAGUUUUCUCAGUUUUUUUGUUCAAUUUACACAAACACAAAAAAACAACUUUUCAUUUACGCAGACCUUUACUCAGUCAGUAUCAUCAAUGUUGACAAUGUAAUACAAAUUAUCAAAAACAAUGGACAAGACUAGCCAAGGCUGAUUGAAAACCAAGAAAAAAAAUCAACAAUAGGAUUGGAAAUACAAAAGGCCAAUAAGACUGAUUAGUUCUGUUUAUAAAUUGAUCUCUAUUUUGGAUCUUAUUCAAGAUUGGUUAACAAUGGCCAAUAGCUGGACCCAUUGUUGGUCAGAAGGCAAAAAAUAUUGAAACUAAAGCUACAUCAACUGAAUAGACAAAGAAAAUUGCUAUCAAGUCUUUUGAUUAACCAGUCUUUGUUACCUUGCUAUUUACCUUUUAAAAUGUUAAAAUUAAUAACAUGAUAUUUUGUUUUUGGGUGAUAUUUUAUUGUUUCCGUCAUGAUAGUAAUUACCUCAAUAAACAGAUAAUCACGUUCACUUUCAAUUGUUCAUCUAUUUCAACAUGGUAAAGUGAUAAUAAUGGCUUCACACUCACACAGCCAGCUCAAGCCAAAGUUGUUCAGUUGAAGUCUAUUUUUUCAAAAUUUUUUUCUCUCUUGUUUUUUCAUCACUUUAUUAUUGUGAACAAAAUUAUAUAUAAAGGAUAUAAAUGUUACAUGAUGAUAAUUUUAACCCCUGGAAGCAAUGAAAAUGUGAUAAUUUCAAGUUGAAGAUACACUUUGAAAAUAAAAGUAGAAAAAUAUUUAUCCAAGUUAUCGACUUGAGGCUUUUAUCCAACUGUACUUUCGUAUACACUUUUUUUCAUCUCUUUAACGUUUUCUUCGAGCCCAUUUCUUCAAUAACACAAGAUUCAAUGGAACAACUUUUUCUACUCACCAAAAUUUUCUUCUUAAAUCCCAUUGAAUCUGUUUCUGAGAGAUGAAAUUUACUACGUAAAGCUUUGAUGGGUUAGACACAGACAAAAAUGUUGAGACAGAUUGGAAUCAUUACCAGCUAUUACUUGGUGAAUGGUGUAAGAAUGGAUUAAAAAGCUAUCUUUUUGGGCGAGAAAACAUUUCCUUUCUCAGUUAUUUCCUUAAUUUUUACACCAUAAUUGUUACUAUUAAUGAUCACAGGAAUCAAUGUAAUUAAAGAUAUAAUGACAAUAAUUGAACAAAGAAAUGCAACAUUCAACUGUUUGAUUAGGAAACGACCCCUUUAACGGUUUUGCUUUGUUUUCAAUUUCAAAUGUUGACUCUUUUGUUUCUAACUUUUUAAACCCUUUCUCUUCAUUUAAUUAUAAUUGAUUAAUUAUAAUUAAUUGAUUGUUUAGUCAACUUUGAGUGUUUACAAACAAUCGUUUACUAGUUCAUGCGGUGAUGUAGAUUUACUAGCAAUUUAAUUUGAUAGUUACAUCUUAAGCCUUUAUGGGAUCAUAAAGUUAAAAAUAGGAGCCCAGGAAUCGGUUCAAAAAUCAUGAUGUUAACAAGACAAAACAUGAAAAAAGCUCAUCUAAAAAAACUUGGUACACAGCCAUUGGACCUACCUUUUGCAUAAUAGGAAAGGUUGCUUGUCAGUUAAGAGUUCAUGGGUUCAGAGAUCUUGAGACCAACAGAGUACAACAAAAAAAAGUCUUCAUCACUGAUUCUCUAACUUUUGGUCUAUUCUUCAACUCUACACAGCUCAUUGCCACCACCACUACCACUACCACUAUCACCACCAUCACCAACACCAUCAUCAUGAUGAUCACUCUCUAUUUGUCCACCAUUUUUCUCAUGAAAAGGCCAGAGAAGAAAAAAGGAGAACAAGAAAAAACCUUCCUGACAUUUUUGUCAAUUGAUUAAAUUCAAUCAACCCAACCAAUCCAUUAAAUUUUAAUAAUCAACUUGAUUCUAUUCUGUGAGUAACAUAUAAAAAGUACGAACGUGAACCCAAAAAAAGAGUAAAAUAAAGCCAAAUAAUUAGUCUUGUAUUGAUUUGCCAAACCAGUCUGAUUAUUGUAUUGCCCUUGUUGAAUACAUAUUAAUAUCUUUUGUGAUGGGUACAAAUUGAAAAACAAUCAAACCAUGCUUCUUUUUGUAUUUGGUAUCAAUCCCAAUCAUCAUCGACAUCAUAAUAUGCUUUCUGUUGUUACAUUAAUACAGUUAAGUCUGACACCAUAUUCCAUUAAACAACAAUAAAAAACAGGAGUCCACCAAGAAAGAGAAACAAGAGAACCAAGAAACCUCAUCAAUAUCAUACCUGACAAUCUUUCCAAUUAUUGUAUAUCUAGAUGUUCAUUGUAACAAUGAAAGCAACUUGGCCAAAGCAAGCAAAAUGAUGAAAAACAAGUAAAGGACAGAUUAAAGAGCAAAUCAAAUAACAACUAUAACAAGAUGAACAGCAACCAAUGUAAUACAACUUCAACAUGUUACUUAACCGAUUCAACCAUUGAUCAACUGAAGACUGUCCAAAAGAAUGAAAGACUGAAAGAAAAAUGAACAUGAAAUCAUGUAAAACAUGUAAACCACAAUUCAUCAAACAGAGAAUAUUUCCAACUCUUUCUGUUCAUUAUCUGGAAGACAUUGAAAGCGCAUUCUUUUACGAAUCUAAAACGCUGAUUACUUUGUGUCCGAGUUCACAAAAUUUGGAACUUUGAUGUUAUUUCUGUUGGGAGCAAAAAAAAUCUGAUCGUUUUAUGUCUACUAUAAAAUAAUUUCCUCCAAAGUCUCAACUUUGAUUUCUUUUUGUUGUAUGGCUGGAAAUGAAGUAAAUCAUCAACCAAACAGACUGUGACUUUAAAGGUUGAUCUGGUUGUUUUUGUUGCAACAGAAAACUCAGGAAUAGUCUGAUUUAUUUGUAUCCAUUUAAUAAUAUCUAUUGCUAUCAUCUUCAUCAUGGAAUGAUGGUGUUUAUGUAGUUAUGAUGUGAACAAGAAAGACUUAUUUAAAAGCAAACUUGUUUAUUUCAACUCUUUGUUGUUGUAAACCUUCAACCAUAAUUGAUGAUUAGUUGAAUAUUAUACAAUUGAGGAUUUACAGUUAUCAUAAUGACAUUAAAGAGUAAAGAGUAAACAUUUACAUACAAUUUCCACUUAACACAAGUGAAAGCAAUUUAAUAAUGACAAUAUGCUUAUUAUUUGAGCAAGUUAGAUUAAACAAGAUGAAAUUGGACAAAUAA